UAGACCUAGUGGGAUAGUCGGCGUGGUUGGUUGCCGAACCCACUCGGAACUUUGUUGUAGUUCUCACACCCUUACUUUUACAGAGCCGGGACCCAGCGAGCCGGCGGACGAUCGCGGUAAGGGCAUCGCGCCCUAGGUAGAGACCGCCCGAGUUGUUCGUUUACCUUAGUUGCAUACCCACUUAUUACGUCAUCUUUUGUACUUUGAUGAUUUAAUUGUUAAGGGAAAAAGAACUUGUAUGAUGUAAAAGAUUAUAUUUAAAUACAAGAAUGAUAUUUUGAGAUCCUGUGGUGUAACAGAAAAGAAAUGAUGCAAAGUUGU
This 321-nucleotide long non-coding RNA is filed under the name Ananas comosus (pineapple). Its description in RNAcentral is "long non-coding RNA (ACOM_LNC043880)". The record is from RNAcentral. Lineage: Eukaryota; Viridiplantae; Streptophyta; Magnoliopsida; Poales; Bromeliaceae.